RNAcentral lists this unclassified non-coding RNA (331 nucleotides) under soil metagenome. Its description in RNAcentral is "partial contains small subunit ribosomal RNA, internal transcribed spacer 1, and 5.8S ribosomal RNA". The record is from RNAcentral.
UUUCCGUAGGUGAACCUGCGGAAGGAUCAUUAACACGUAUCCAACGUAUCAACCCCUUUAUACGAACCAUUAACCCGCCCUUUGACUACGUUUGAGUCUAGUUUUACCGCUAGGCAAAGCAGCUUGCAGCUGGGAACGGCUGUAUUGCUGGCGCUCUGGGAGAGAGAGGCUUCGGCUUUUCCCUUCACAUCCGCGUAGUACUGUGUGCCUUUUUCUUUCAACCCAUUCUCUGGUUUGACGAAAUUAACGCUUCUUGUUGGGCUCUUCGGAGCCUGCAGGAUUCUAAUUAUUAAACGCUGAACAACUUUUAGCAACGGAUGUCUUGGUUCUC